This 362-nucleotide ribosomal RNA is filed under the name uncultured bacterium. RNAcentral describes it as "bacterial SSU rRNA". It matches the Rfam family "Bacterial small subunit ribosomal RNA", at positions 28 to 417 of the family's 1533-position model. The record is from RNAcentral.
GACGAACGCUGGCGGCAGGCUUAACACAUGCAAGUCGAGCGGGCGUAGCAAUACGUCAGCGGCAGACGGGUGAGUAACGCGUGGGUAACAUACCUUUUGGUUCGGAACAACACAGGGAAACUUGUGCUAAUACCGGAUAAGCCCUUACGGGAAAGAUUAUCGCCGAAAGAUUGGCCCGCGUCUGAUUAGCUAGCUGGUGAGGUAACGGCUCACCAAGGCGACGAUCAGUAGCUGGUCUGAGAGGAUGAUCAGCCACAUUGGGACUGAGACACGGCCCAGACUCCUACGGGAGGCAGCAGUGGGGAAUAUUGCACAAUGGGCGCAAGCCUGAUGCAGCGACGCCGCGUGAGGGAUGACGGCCU